UGAAAGUGCUACAUUCUUACCUCAUGUGAUUGAGGUUCAUUCAAGGUGAAAGGUGCCAGAAGAAUAUAAGGACGCCCCACAUAAAAUUACGGAUGGGGAGCUGUGAAAUCUUUCCAUCAGAAGAAAAGGAAAUUAUCAGCAAUCUUCAAGCCUCAGAGCACACAGGCUGCCGACUGAUGGGAG
Bombina bombina (fire-bellied toad) is the source of this 183-nucleotide long non-coding RNA. RefSeq lists it as uncharacterized. Lineage: Eukaryota; Metazoa; Chordata; Amphibia; Anura; Bombinatoridae. The record is from RefSeq and is a predicted model, not a curated record. The transcript has 3 exons.